RNAcentral lists this ribosomal RNA (172 nucleotides) under uncultured bacterium. RNAcentral describes it as "partial 16S ribosomal RNA". It matches the Rfam family "Bacterial small subunit ribosomal RNA", at positions 1302 to 1471 of the family's 1533-position model. The record is from RNAcentral.
AGUCUGCAACUCGACUCCAUGAAGUCGGAAUCGCUAGUAAUCGCAGAUCAGCAUUGCUGCGGUGAAUACGUUCCCGGGUCUUGUACACACCGCCCGGUCACACCAUGGGAGUUGAUUGCACCAGAAGCAGGUAGCCUGACCGCAAGGGGGGCGCCUACCACGGUGUGGUCAA